AUUCCUACGGGAGGCAGCAGUGGGGAAUCUUGCGCAAUGGGCGAAAGCCUGACGCAGCAACGCCGCGUGCGGGAUGAAGGCCCUCGGGUUGUAAACCGCUUUUACCAGGAAGGAAACUGACAGUACCUGGAGAAUAAGGUGCGGCCAACUACGUGCCAGCAGCCGCGGUGACACGUAGGCACCAAGCGUUGUCCGGAUUUAUUGGGCGUAAAGAGCUCGUAGGCGGUUCAGUAAGUCGGGUGUGAAAACUCUGGGCUUAACCCAGAGACGCCACCCGAUACUGCUGUGACUUGAGUCCGGUAGGGGAGUGGGGAAUUCCUGGUGUAGCGGUGAAAUGCGCAGAUAUCAGGAGGAACACCAAUGGCGAAGGCACCACUCUGGGCCGAGACUGACGCUGAGGAGCGAAAGCGUGGGUAGCAAACAGGAUUAGAUACCCUGGUAGUCCACGCCGUAAACGGUGGGCACUAGGUGUGGGUUCCAACCAACGGGAUCCGCGCCGUCGCUAACGCAUUAAGUGCCCCACCUGGGGAGUACGGCCGCAAGGUUAAAACUCAAAGGAAUUGACGGAAU
RNAcentral lists this ribosomal RNA (570 nucleotides) under uncultured bacterium. RNAcentral describes it as "bacterial SSU rRNA". It matches the Rfam family "Bacterial small subunit ribosomal RNA", at positions 335 to 919 of the family's 1533-position model. The record is from RNAcentral.